AGUGAACGCUGGCGGUAGGCCUAACACAUGCAAGUCGAACGGCAGCACAGUAAGAGCUUGCUCUUACGGGUGGCGAGUGGCGGACGGGUGAGGAAUACAUCGGAAUCUACUUUUUCGUGGGGGAUAACGUAGGGAAACGUACGCUAAUACCGCAUACGACCUACGGGUGAAAGCAGGGGAUCUUCGGACCUUGCGCGAUUGAAUGAGCCGAUGUCGGAUUAGCUAGUUGGCGGGGUAAAGGCCCACCAAGGCGACGAUCCGUAGCUGGUCUGAGAGGAUGAUCAGCCACACUGGAACUGAGACACGGUCCAGACUCCUACGGGAGGAAGCAGUGGGGAAUAUUGGACAAUGGGCGCAAGCCUGAUCCAGCCAUACCGCGUGGGUGAAGAAGGCCUUCGGGUUGUAAAGCCCUUUUGUUGGGAAAGAAAAGCAGCAGGUUAAUACCCCGCUGUUCUGACGGUACCCAAAGAAUAAGCACCGGCUAACUUCGUG
RNAcentral lists this ribosomal RNA (492 nucleotides) under uncultured bacterium. RNAcentral's name for it is "partial 16S ribosomal RNA". It matches the Rfam family "Bacterial small subunit ribosomal RNA", at positions 29 to 507 of the family's 1533-position model. The record is from RNAcentral.